UAACAAUUCUUAUAGUUGUUUCCGCUUCUGAUGCCAAUCAGUGCCUACAAAGAAUUGCGAAAAUAAUAUAUUUUCAUAGGACAUUCGAACUAGAACACAGAACUUCAUCAGAGUUAAUACAAAAAAGCGUCCAAAAUAAACAAAAGGAAGAAUUAAGGAUGUAAUUUACCAAAAUUAGAUAAAACGUAGACUAGCCACACAUCAGCAUUCUUUUAGAAAUAGAAACAGAAUUAACUUGACUGGAUUAAGUAAGUAUAUUUGGGAACUCAAAGAUAGUGAUAUUAGCUUCACAUCAGAAAGGGAGAUCCUUGCUACUGCACUUUCGUAUAGUGAAAAAAAAUAGGAAAUGUUAUCUUUGCAUUAAUGAAAUUUUUUUCAUUCUAACAGCACGAAAGACAUUAUUGAACCUGAGAGAGGAAAGAAUUUGUAGCUUACCUGCAUAAAGACAUUUGACUGCGGCCAUGCUAUCGUACUGCCUUUAGUCGAGCAAAUGAAGCCCAGGACUUAUUCUUUAACAUGGACUGCUUGUUUAUACCCAAGAAAUGGACUUGUUUACACCCAAGGAAUGGACUUGCUGUUUGUAGUCAAGAAAUGUGCAACACACACGUUAUAAUUACUUCUAUAACAUAACAAUUUAAAGGUAUGUUAAAGACAAUUUAUUUUGAUAACACAAAUUGUCUGCAUAAAGAAUUUUAAAAAUUGGAAAAGAGUGGCAAGUUUUGUAAAUAGGGGCAGGGUAAGGUUGAAUAUUUAAGAGAAUUUGCAGCGUGUAAGAUGUUAGUAAGCAAUUCCAAAACAACAAAAGCCGUUACUUUCACUGCAAAAUUUAAAUUUCGUUUGUGUCUAAAUAUUUUCGUUCUUUGAAACCAUGGCAAACCCCUGACAAAAACUCGUGCUUCAUCUAUUUUGUCAGUAAACAAGUCUCGGUUUCAAAGCAAUGAAAAUAUCGACAUUGAAAUGAGAUUUAAAUGUUGCAGUGAAACAACCAUUUCUCUUUGUGUGUGUGUGUGUUCUUGAUAUUCGUUCAGAGCAAGUUGUGUUACCUCUCUUACACUCUUUUUCUUUAGUUUUUUGGCUCCGGUGAGGCGUCUUGGAACAUUCACGAUGUGAAUGUUCCGAGUCCUCUCCCCACCCACUCCCGUUCGCAAGCACGCAUUUCUUUUUCAAAUUCGUUCACAGCAAGUUGUUUUACACCUAUUAUACUAAUUUUUUUUUGUUUUUGAGCUCGGGUCAAAAGCUUUAGUUUAACCAAAUUCAGUAUGUAUGUAUGUAUGUAUGUAUAUUUGUGUGUGUGUCUGUGGUUCUUCCCUAACCAUCGCUUGACAGCUGAUGUUGGUAUGUCUACGUCCUUGUAUCUUAGCAGUUAAGCAAAAGAUACCGAUAGAAUAAGAACUAGGCUUAUAAAGAAUAAGUCCUGAGAUCGAUUCGUUCAACUAAAGACGGUGCUCCAGCUUGGCCACAGUCAAAUGACUGAAACAAGUAAAAGAAUAUAUAUAUAUAUAUGUCUGUAGAUAUAUUUAUAUGUGUGUGUGUGUGUGUGUAUAUAUGUAUAUAUAUAUAUAACCCUAACCCUAACCCCACUCGUAUGCCCUCCCUCCUCAUCACCCACCUCAAUCCCCCUCCCACAGACACGAUCACACACGCAGACACUCCAAACCCCCACCCACCCCGUUUUAUCACAGCUUAUAAUACCAAAAACUCAAAGCUUAAAAAAGCCUUUAAAAGCAUUAAUAUUGUUUCACCAUUUGCUCAACCGACUGAUAUAAUCAUCCCCCUUCACAUAAAAUAUAUUUUUAUUGACAACCCAAGCUUAAUCGAAUUAGCUAAAACUUUAUCAAAGGACAUGAAUCCUCAAAACAGACUUUGGAAUUACACUAUAGCAUAAACUUAUUAGGACCCCACAAUCCAUGGAUAAGGAAGAGGUGGAGCCCCACUUUUAAGGUAGUAGCAGAUCUGAAGAAAAAGUUAAUAUGAGGAGUGUUGGUUCUGGAUUUUGAUCAAGGAAGGAUGUGGAGAAGGAGAAGAAGGAGAGGGAGAAGAAGGAGAAGAAGGAGAGGAAGAAGAAGAAGAAGGAGAGGAGAAGAGAAGAAGUAGAAGAAGGAGAGGAGAAGAGAAGAAGUAGAAGAAGGGGAGGAGAAGUAGAAGAAAAAGAAAAAGAUGGGAGUGGUAUGACAGUAUUAGACUGUUCAUGGCCUUCAAUGGUCAAAUGACCUAAAAGUGACCUGUUGUGGUUGUAGCAGUAGUGAUUGGAAUUAUGCUGAAUAAAUUGACUUUUCAUUGA
Molecule: long non-coding RNA, 2281 nt
Organism: Octopus bimaculoides (California two-spot octopus)
Lineage: Eukaryota; Metazoa; Mollusca; Cephalopoda; Octopoda; Octopodidae
Source: RefSeq, a predicted model, not a curated record